This 322-nucleotide ribosomal RNA is filed under the name uncultured eukaryote. Its description in RNAcentral is "partial 18S ribosomal RNA". It matches the Rfam family "Eukaryotic small subunit ribosomal RNA", at positions 1470 to 1796 of the family's 1831-position model. The record is from RNAcentral.
CCCUUAGAUGUUCUGGGCCGCACGCGUGCUACACUGAGUGGAUCAGCGGGUCAGGUUGCGCGAAAGUGUUUCCUAAUCUUGAAAUCCGCUCGUGAUGGGGAUUGACGGUUGCAAUUUUCCGUCAUGAACGAGGAAUACCUUGUAAGCGCGGGUCAUCAUCCCGCGCUGAAUACGUCCCUGCCCUUUAUACACACCGCCCGUCGCUCCUACCGAUUGAGUGGUCCGGUGAGGCUUUGGGAUCUGAGCAAAAAGAGCGUUUCGCUCGUUUGGCUCGGAAAACUCAGUCGAACCUUAUCAUUUAGAGGAAGGAGAAGUCGUAACA